Molecule: ribosomal RNA, 253 nt
Filed under: uncultured bacterium
Lineage: Bacteria
Description: partial 16S ribosomal RNA
Rfam family: Bacterial small subunit ribosomal RNA
Source: RNAcentral
UACGUAGGGUGCAAGCGUUAUCCGGAAUUAUUGGGCGUAAAGGGCUCGUAGGCGGUUUGUCGCGUCUGCUGUGAAAACCGGAGGCUCAACCUCCGGCCUGCAGUGGGUACGGGCAAACUAGAGUGCGGUAGGGGAGAUUGGAAUUCCUGGUGUAGCGGUGGAAUGCGCAGAUAUCAGGAGGAACACCGAUGGCGAAGGCAGAUCUCUGGGCCGUAACUGACGCUGAGGAGCGAAAGCGUGGGGAGCGAACAGG